GAUGAACGCUGGCGGCGUGCCUAAUACAUGCAAGUCGAGCGAAUGGAUUAAGAGCUUGCUCUUAUGAAGUUAGCGGCGGACGGGUGAGUAACACGUGGGUAACCUGCCCAUAAGACUGGGAUAACUCCGGGAAACCGGGGCUAAUACCGGAUAAAAUUUUGAACCGCAUGGUUCGAAAUUGAAAGGCGGCUUCGGCUGUCACUUAUGGAUGGACCCGCGUCGCAUUAGCUAGUUGGUGAGGUAACGGCUCACCAAGGCAACGAUGCGUAGCCGACCUGAGAGGGUGAUCGGCCACACUGGGACUGAGAUACGGCCCAGACUCCUACGGGAGGCAGCAGUAGGGAAUCUUCCGCAAUGGACGAAAGUCUGACGGAGCAACGCCGCGUGAGUGAUGAAGGCUUUGGGUCGUAAAACUCUGUUGUUAGGGAAGAACAAGUGCUAGUUGAAUAAGCUGGCACCUUGACGGUACCUAACCAGAAAGCCACGGCUAACUACGUGCCAGCCGCCGCAGUAA
This 514-nucleotide ribosomal RNA is filed under the name uncultured bacterium. RNAcentral's name for it is "partial 16S ribosomal RNA". It matches the Rfam family "Bacterial small subunit ribosomal RNA", at positions 28 to 523 of the family's 1533-position model. The record is from RNAcentral.